This 232-nucleotide ribosomal RNA is filed under the name uncultured bacterium. RNAcentral describes it as "partial 16S ribosomal RNA". It matches the Rfam family "Bacterial small subunit ribosomal RNA", at positions 104 to 334 of the family's 1533-position model. The record is from RNAcentral.
CGGGGUGAGUAACGCGUGGAUAACCUGCCUCACACUGGGGGAUAACAGUUAGAAGUGACUGCUAAUACCGCAUAAGCGCACAGUACCGCAUGGUACAGUGUGAAAAACUCCGGUGGUGUGAGAUGGAUCCGCGUCUGAUUAGCCAGUUGGCGGGGUAACGGCCCACCAAAGCGACGAUCAGUAGCCGACCUGAGAGGGUGACCGGCCACAUUGGGACUGAGACACGGCCCAA